AUGCUAUAUUCUUAAUUAAGUUA
Molecule: small nuclear RNA, 23 nt
Filed under: Arabidopsis thaliana (thale cress)
Lineage: Eukaryota; Viridiplantae; Streptophyta; Magnoliopsida; Brassicales; Brassicaceae
Description: snRNA_04825
Source: RNAcentral